CCGGCCUUUCAAACCCGGCAGAGACCGGGACACCCUUUCCCACGCCACCCCAGACCCGGGUUGACCUGUUUCCCGUGGGAGCCCCUCCUUGAGUGAAGUAUGGUAAAGUCGGUCCCUCCUCCCGACCAAUGGAGGGCGCAAGAGUGCGUAGCGCGAAGACUGGGAAAACUGUUGGGUACGGAAGUGAUGUCAGGCACCGGAAGUGCACGAGUUUGACGGACUGGGCUGGUGAGUUCCGGCUUCUAGGAGACUUAUAAUCACGGUUCCGCUAGGCUGUAGUGAAGAGGUUCGUUUCUUCCCGACAGCCUUAAUGUUCAGAUGAGAAAGAUGAGGGUCCUAGAGGAAGGGGUUUCUCAUAUUCACUCAGCAAGAAACUCCCGAGACCAGCGCGCUUUCCACACGACUCCUCUGGGCGGAGGACUAUCCCUGAGGUCCUAUCAUGCUUGUGUUUCAGAAGCAUACAAGGCUUCCUACUUCAGAAUUGGCUUUCUCUUUCAAGGCCCUCAAUGAGUCUUCUGCAUUCAGCUCCUUGAGGACUGAGGGACUCAACUCUGCAUCACAGUAUCAACCACAAGGCCCCAGUAAGUACUCAAUAAAUGCCUAAGAAAUUACCUUCCAAUGCCAUUUAUUG
This 631-nucleotide long non-coding RNA is filed under the name Ictidomys tridecemlineatus (thirteen-lined ground squirrel). RNAcentral's name for it is "lncRNA (ENSSTOG00000034839.1)". Lineage: Eukaryota; Metazoa; Chordata; Mammalia; Rodentia; Sciuridae. The record is from RNAcentral.